GACGAACUUUGGCGGCGUGCUUAACACAUGCAAGUCGAACGGAAAGGCCCUGCUUUUGUGGGGUGCUCGAGUGGCGAACGGGUGAGUAACACGUGAGUAACCUGCCCUUGACUUUGGGAUAACUUCAGGAAACUGGGGCUAAUACCGGAUAGGAGCUCCUGCUGCAUGGUGGGGGUUGGAAAGUUUCGGCGGUUGGGGAUGGACUCGCGGCUUAUCAGCUUGUUGGUGGGGUAGUGGCUUACCAAGGCUUCGACGGGUAGCCGGCCUGAGAGGGUGACCGGCCACAUUGGGACUGAGAUACGGCCCAGACUCCUACGGGAGGCAGCAGUGGGGAAUAUUGCACAAUGGGCGGAAGCCUGAUGCAGCAACGCCGCGUGCGGGAUGACGGCCUUCGGGUUGUAAACCGCUUUCGCCUGUGACGAAGCGUGAGUGACGGUAAUGGGUAAAGAAGCACCGGCUAACUACGUGCCAGCAGCCGCGGUGAUACGUAGGGUGCGAGCGUUGUCCGGAUUUAUUGGGCGUAAAGGGCUCGUAGGUGGUUGAUCGCGUCGGAAGUGUAAUCUUGGGGCUUAACCCUGAGCGUGCUUUCGAUACGGGUUGACUUGAGGAAGGUAGGGGAGAAUGGAAUUCCUGGUGGAGCGGUGGAAUGCGCAGAUAUCAGGAGGAACACCAGUGGCGAAGGCGGUUCUCUGGGCCUUUCCUGACGCUGAGGAGCGAAAGCGUGGGGAGCGAACAGGCUUAGAUACCCUGGUAGUCCACGCUGUAAACGGUGGGUACUAGGUGUGGGGUCCAUUCCACGGGUUCCGUGCCGUAGCUAACGCUUUAAGUACCCCGCCUGGGGAGUACGGCCGCAAGGCUAAAACUCAAAGGAAUUGACGGGGCCCCGCACAAGCGGCGGAGCAUGCGGAUUAAUUCGAUGCAACGCGUAGAACCUUACCUGGGUUUGACAUGGAUCGGGAGUGCUCAGAGAUGGGUGUGCCUCUUUUGGGGUCGGUUCACAGGUGGUGCAUGGCUGUCGUCAGCUCGUGUCGUGAGAUGUUGGGUUAAGUCCCGCAACGAGCGCAACCCUUGUUCACUGUUGCCAGCACGUUAUGGUGGGGACUCAGUGGAGACCGCCGGGGUCAACUCGGAGGAAGGUGGGGAUGACGUCAAGUCAUCAUGCCCCUUAUGUCCAGGGCUUCACGCAUGCUACAAUGGCUGGUACAGAGAGUGGCGAGCCUGUGAGGGUGAGCGAAUCUCGGAAAGCCGGUCUCAGUUCGGAUUGGGGUCUGCAACUCGACCUCAUGAAGUCGGAGUCGCUAGUAAUCGCAGAUCAGCAACGCUGCGGUGAAUACGUUCCCGGGGCU
Molecule: ribosomal RNA, 1346 nt
Filed under: uncultured bacterium
Lineage: Bacteria
Description: partial 16S ribosomal RNA
Rfam family: Bacterial small subunit ribosomal RNA
Source: RNAcentral